UACGUAGGGGGCGAGCGUUGUCCGAAGUUACUGGGCGUAAAGAGCGCGUAGGCGGGUCUUUAAGUGAGAGGUGAAAGGUUCAGGGCUCAACCCGAACACUGCCUUUCAUACUGGGGAUCUUGAGUGCGGGAGAGGCGAGUGGAAUGGUCGGUGUAGCGGUGAAAUGCGUAGAUAUCGAUCGGAACACCCAUGGCGAAGGCAGCUCGCUGGCCUGCAACUGACGCUGAGGCGCGAAAGCGUGGGGAGCAAACAGG
Molecule: ribosomal RNA, 254 nt
Filed under: uncultured bacterium
Lineage: Bacteria
Description: partial 16S ribosomal RNA
Rfam family: Bacterial small subunit ribosomal RNA
Source: RNAcentral